ACGCAGAAAGGAAUCUGUGUGAAUCUCUGAACUGUGGUUGAAUAGAGGUAUUCUUAGGCGCCUGCUUGCAAGGGUGAUGAACUUUUGGUGCUAAAAGCAGAAUUGCUUUUCAGUAAAUGUUAUUACUCAAAAGGAAGUUGUCACCACUGCCGCCACCUCAAGCCUCUUCCAACUGCAGCACUGUCUGUCAGACCCAAGGCAGGAGGGGGUCUCUGCGUGGCUCCCCGUGACCCUACCAAGCCCCCAAGGGAAGCUCUGGCCAUCUCAGCUGGCCCUGGCCAGCUGAUGCUGACGUUCAAAUGCCCACAGCCUGCCUCAGCAUCAUAUCUCAAGGUACCAGCUGUUUGCUUACUCAGCAUUUACGUCUCCAAGCUUGAGUGGUCUUGGCUGUGCAGAGCUGGCGUUGAGGGUAGGGUCAGGGGGCAUGAGGAAGAGCUGUCAGGUGACUGUUUUUUUGUGAACUGUUGCCCAUCUUGGCAACUCAUCUCUCUUAAUUUUUGUUUCUUCUUCUCUAAAAUGGGGAAGGGGUGAUGAUACCCCAAUAUAAAAAGCUAAGCAUAGUAGUUGGCCAUAGUAGAUGCUUAAUAAAUGGUCAGGUUACUAUUAACAGUCAAAAUGACACUGAAUUUAAAUCAGACCAGGGCUCAAAUCUCAGCUCCACUCUCUACUAGUCGGAUGACCUUAGACAAAUUCGUCCACCUCUCUGAACCUCAGCUUUUUCCUAUAUAAAGUAGGAAUAUUAACAAUACGUAUUGUGCAAGAUUGUUGGGAGAAUUUGAUGAGUUGGAACAUGUAAGUCAUCAGACACACAGUAGGUAUGCAGUAAGCAUUACUUCAUUCUCUUUGUUGCCUCAGAGAGGCCAGCCCCUGGGCUGUUGUUCCCCUGGAGGAGCCCAGUCACAGGAACCGGCUGUGUCCUUCCUUCACUGAGAAGGGUCCUUGAAAGUAUGCACCCAAGUCCAGAGGGCGGAUGAAAACCAACCAGACUAACCCCAGUGCAGCCCAUUCAGUACACACUCACUGUGAGAAAGGAGUCAAAACAGAUCUCAGGAUGGCGGGUCACCAUCCCAACCUGGAGAGCUAGCGAGGAUGCCGUAAGGUUUGUUCCCCCACCUGCCACAGCUCUGACAAGUGGCAAUUAAUUUACAGAGCAGCACCUGCACAAGAGUGCUGUGCUCAGCUUGUUUCAUGAAUCAUCUCAUAGAGUCUCUGCACCAACCCCCCGAGGGUUGCUCACUGCUCCAUCACUUGCAGGGGUGGAAACCAAGGCUCCAGGAGGUGAGAGGUCUGGUAGACUGAGAUUUGAACCCAGGCUGUUCAAUUGUCAAACCACACAACCACCACACUACAUCUGCUGUUUGCUAUACUGAUGCCACACCCAUCUCCCACCCGCAACUCGGUCCUUGACCGCUGGCAUCCGCUAAUCUGUUCUCCAUUUCUACAUUGUGUGAGUUCAAGAAUAUUACAUAAAUGGAAUCAUAUGGAAUGCAUGAGUGAUCCAGUUUCUCCAAUCCUCUCCAGCAUUUAGUGUUCUCAUGAUUUUUCAUCUUAGUCAUCUGGAUGGGUGUGUAGUAAUACCUCAUUGUGGUCUUACUUUGCAUCUCCCUAACGGCUAAUGACGUUGAACAUCUUUUCAUGUGUUUAUUUGCAUCUGUGUAUCCUCCUCCAUAAAAUGUCUGUUCCUGUCUUUUGUCAUUUUCUAAUUGGAUUUUUUUUUCAUUGUUGAGUUUUGGAGCUCUUGAUACAUUCUAGGUGCUAGUCCUUUGUCAGAUACACGGUUUGCAAAUAUUUUCUCCCAGUCUGCAGCUUGUCUUUUCAUCCUCUUAACAGGGCGCUUCACAGAGCAAAAAAUUUUAAUUUUGAAAAGGUACAAUUUAUGAAUUGUGCUUUUUGUGUUCAAAAAUAAUAAUUCUUUGCCUAGCCUUAGAGCCUAAAGAUUGAUUUUCUCCUACUGUUAAAAAAUGUUUUAUAGGCUUAUGUUUUUAGUCCAUGAUACAAUUAAUUUUUGUUAUAGAAGUGUGAGGUUUGGGUCAAGGUCAAGGUCAAGGUUUUGUGGAGGUUUGUUUGUUUGUUGUCUCUAUGGGUAUUCAAUUGCUCCAGCACUAUUUAUUGGAAAAGUUAUCUUUCCAUUAAAUUACUUUUGUGCCUUUGUCAAAAAUCAUCUGGGCGUAUUUGUGGGGGUCUAUUUCUGGGUCCAUUCUUCUAUUCCUUUGAUUCUAUGUCUAGCCCUCUGCCAGUUCUAUACUGUCUGAUUACUGUAGUUGUGUGGUAAAUCCCAAUAUUGGGCAGAAUGAUUCCUCCCACUUUAUAGAACAUUGUGUAUCAUAUUUUAAUUCCUUGACAAAUGAGGUGGCAAAUCUCUGUUCCUCAAUUUGGUCAUUUAAAAAGAGAAUACUGAGGCAGAAAUGCCAAGGGUCCGCCAAAGAUCUCCUCCUCUAAAGUGCAGAGUUGUAAUGUAGAUAAGUAGCUGUCCAACCGUGGAACUUCAUUUUCCAAAUGCCUUUACAUCUGGGUGGAACCAGGUGACUAGUUCCAGGCAACGGAAUGUGGGGGGAAAUGUAUACGUAUGUCACUCCGGGCUGAUGGGUACCUUCUCCACCAUCUCCUCUCUCUGAUGGGAUGUUGCUCCCCAGGGUGACUUUGAACACGGCAGAGCCCCCAGCAGCUGGGCUACCUAUGCAACUGUGUGAAUCAUCGCUCCUCCUCCCUGUGGCCAUCCCAAUGAAGAAAAAUAUCUGCAUUUAUAAAUGAAAUACUAUAACACUGUUAAAUUUUAAAAGUUAAAAUAAAAAAUACAACUUAUAAAAUGCC
Camelus dromedarius (Arabian camel) is the source of this 2811-nucleotide long non-coding RNA. RefSeq lists it as uncharacterized. Lineage: Eukaryota; Metazoa; Chordata; Mammalia; Artiodactyla; Camelidae. The record is from RefSeq and is a predicted model, not a curated record. The transcript has 3 exons.